Selaginella moellendorffii is the source of this 3321-nucleotide RNA transcript. It is a transcript of the gene named transcription factor MYB3R-5, with no coding region annotated. Lineage: Eukaryota; Viridiplantae; Streptophyta; Lycopodiopsida; Selaginellales; Selaginellaceae. The record is from RefSeq and is a predicted model, not a curated record. The transcript is spliced from 13 exons.
GCACUCGGAUCCACCGUCCGUCCCCCAAUCUUUCGAAUCUCCACCGUUAGAUCCGCCAGGUAUGGACGCGAGCUAAGGAGCUAGGGUUUCGUUUGGUAGCGAGCAUGGGGCGCCAUGGAGUUUCUAGGGUUUGUAGCGCCUGCUGGGAGCUGAGAUUGCGGCAGGCGCCUUGGCGCGGGUGUCCCGGGGCCUUGGAUUUCGAUUUCCAGCAUAGAUCUUUGCAGCUUACUUGAGCCGGGGCAUAGAUUUUCAACAGGUAUGGUAGAAAUCGCAAUUAGGAGCAGUAGCAGAUAGAUGGCAUCGAGCAAGGUCAAAGGCAGCAACAGCACGACUGAUGAUCCGCCCCACUCCUCCAUUUGUUCCUCUGGAGCGGACACGGACGACGAUGCGACGAAUCAAUUGCCUCCGGUGCAGGGGCGAAUUGGCGGGCCAACGAGGAGAUCUUCCAAAGGAGGCUGGACCGCUGACGAGGAUGAUGUUCUGAGACGAGCUGUGCAAUGUUUCAAGUCGAAGAAUUGGAAAAAGAUUGCCGCGUUUUUCAAAAAUCGUACCGAUGUGCAGUGCUUGCAUCGGUGGCAAAAGGUUUUAAAUCCCGACCUUGUGAAGGGUCCGUGGACGAAAGAGGAGGAUGAUAGGAUAAUUGAGCUGGUGAACAAGUAUGGUGCUAAGAAAUGGUCAGUCAUUGCGCAAAACUUGCCUGGACGGAUCGGAAAGCAGUGUCGAGAGAGAUGGCACAACCAUCUUAAUCCUAAUAUCAAAAGGGAUGCUUGGACUCAACAGGAAGAUCUUGCUCUAAUUUAUGCACACCAACGCUACGGAAACAAAUGGGCCGAGAUAGCGAAGUUUUUACCCGGAAGGACGGACAAUUCCAUCAAGAAUCACUGGAACAGUACCAUGAAGAAGAAGGUUGAUCCAGCACUUGCAAAUGACCCGAUUUCGAAAGCCCUCGCAGACUAUCAACUUCAAAUGGAGGCUAAGCAGGCACAAGCGGUCCCAAGGCCUCCGCAUCCCAAAAUUCCUCUGGCUCCCGGCUUUGAUCCAUCGCUUCGACAGAAAAGGAUUGCGUCUACGGAACCCGGACUGAUUUCUCAGCCACCUUCGGGAUUGUAUCCUGCGUAUUAUUUGUCGGGAGAGUGCUCCAUGGACGCAGCCAGUCAGCCUACAACGGAAGAUCUAGCUCAGUCCAACUCGCUCGACGUUUCGACUGCGACAGAACCAUCUGCAGCGGCAUAUGGACAGGAUCAGAAUAUGGUUGAGCACUUUGAACCGGUUUUCUCAUCGCUGAACGAGAUGAAGCUCGAAGAAAGUGCCGGGGAAGGGACUACCAAAGCAGAUGCCUCACAAGAAAUUACCGAGGAACAGGAUCUUCUUUUCUACGAACCGCCUCGCCUGGCCAGCUCGGACUUGCCUUUUAUGAACUAUGACCUCAGCAGUGCGCAUGAAGAGUACAGUCCUCUCGGGGUGAGACAGAUGAUAAUGCCGUUCGUGAAUUGUACAACACCGUUCACGUACUCUCCAUCCAGCUUCACCAGUCCCCAAGAAAAGCUGAGGUCUGCUGCAAAGAGUUUUGGAGGAACGCCUUCUAUAUUGCGAAAGAGACCGAGGCAGCUCUUGAGUCCUUCGCAGGCUGGUGGUGGUGACGGAGCCAAGUUUGCAGAGCCAAGGCUGACGGAUAAUGCUGGGAAUGCGGCCAGCAAAGCGGAAGGCAGCGCGGUUUUACUGUCUCCUCCUUACAACGUUUCUUCAAAGUUGUCUUCAAUAUCAGAGGCAAAUGAUAUUGGAGUGGACGAAUUUCGAAGACUCAGGCAGCACUUCCAGGCAUGCAGCGCUGAUAUCAACGCAGAGUGCAGUAAAGGCGACUCCGAGGAAUCUGCUCGUGGAGAAGGAGAGGUUAAGUCGAAGAGGGGAAGACUUGGCGAUGGUGGUGAUGCCUCAAGCGAGAAGCAACAAAUCCAGCAAACAUCGUCCUCUGAUCGGCCUCUUCUGUUGGAUCCUGGAGAAUCACCGCCACCCCAUAAAGCGAAGGGAAAAGCAAAGCUGACGAUCAAAACUCCUAGCCGGCUUGGCGUCUUGGGUCAGAGCACACUGAACUCCGCUAAUAAAUGUGAUCGUUUCUUCAGCGGUUUGUCACCACUUUCGAAGUCUCCGUGGAGGCUUGAUUCGUUCCUCUCCUUGGGAAAGGAUGGCUCGCCUUCGCUUCUUCAGCAGGGGAUGAAUUUGCCAAUGGAUGGUGGAGGAGACGACGCGCUGGGCAUUAUGAUGCACCUGAGCGAGCAUGCUGCCACAGCGUACUCGGACGCUGAGGAGGUGCUGGCCAAGGUACCGUCCUCUGAAAGCGCGGUCACCCCCAUUCCACUUCGUAAGAUGCGAAUGGAUGAAAACAUUUUCUCUCACGACUCCAAGGAGAACAUGACAGAGUCGGAUGACAACGCAGGGGGCACCUCGGGAUCGUUACUAAGUUGGCUCCUCCCUUUCCAAGCGGAGAUUUGCUCGCCAAACAUGGACCUGACGAACUUGCUCCGCGGACCACUGGCAGCCGACGACACGGGCCAAGCUGCUGCGGCGGGGCUGCUGGAUCCAUUCAGUCCGUCCAUGUAUCUCUUGAAAGAGUACCGGUAAUUUAUCAUCAUAUACCUCUAAAUCUCUCAGCUUCCAGGUUCUCUGUUUCCUCUCGAGGAAAGAGCCCCGCGGUGUCAAUCGACCGGAGCCUUCUAAUCUCCUCGUCGAGGCCCCGGAUUAUCCUGUCGUGGACGGUGUAGACUCCCGUUUGCAUUAUCUGUGAUAGGAAGGGCUCGCUGUCGUCAAACGAAGGAGCAACUAUGUGCUCCAUCGCUGCUAGUCUCUCGAAAAGCUCUCCUUUCGGUGGUGGUGGUGGCGGCGGCGGCGGCGGCGGCAGUGGAGGCUUUUGAGGCACUGGAUUGCGUUGCUCGGGCUCGGCAACUGCUGGAUGACUGGUUGCCGGGAUCACAGCUUCCUUGUGCUCCUUGGUCUCGUGCUUGCUUUCGUCAGCAGCGGUGGCAGCAGCAGCGGCGGCAGCUGCGGCGGCCGUGAGAGCCGUUUGCUCCUGUUGCUGGAGGCGCUCCACUUGUUCUUUCAGCUGCUUGAGCUCGAGCUUGUCUUGGCUAGCUGCGCGAAGAUGUUCCUGGAGCAUUGCCGUGAGAGCCGUCGUGUCCCGACCGCCGCUGCUAGGCCGCGGGGGCGGUGGCUCUUGCGAGCGCUUGCGCAUGUUUGCGAGUUCUUUGGCCAGCCGUAUCACCUGUGAGCAAAUCCCUCCCUCUAUUGAGUCAAAAGGAAAGAGAAAAGGUGGUGGAACUUUCUUGA